CCUUGCUUCACUUCACCUGUGCCUCCCCAGUUGCUUGCACUUUGCGGGUGCCGGCUCUCCUCUCGGCCACCUCUGCCACCCGCGGGCCACCUCCUCUAGCGCUCUCCCUGAUUGCGCCUGGCCUGCUCCUCUCCACCUCCUGCCACGUUGAGGCUAGCUCAGUGCUGUUUCCUUUCCUCUGGCCCUUCUUGAUCCCUUUCUCUGGCUGCUGCUGCUGCUGCGGGGUGCUUUCCAACCUAUCGGGAACUCAGGACUUAAGGCGACUGCACCGUGGCGCUCAUCCAGGACAUUCAGGGUUAACAGCUUCCGCGCCCUUCCACAGAGACUCCCGGGAGCAGGAGAACUCUUCCACCUGCAGCCCCCUUUUGCCUGGCAGUUCUGCAUUGCAUCGCUCGGAAGUCGAAACAAGAAAGAAAAAAAGAAAUGUCCAAAACUCCUUGGAUGUUGGGAUAAACUAGCGUGAGCCUACUUGGGGUUUUCCUGCUUUGUCUUCUCUCUCGGCUUCCACCUUUCCCCAGUGGCUUUCCAGAGCAUGCAGCUAAAACAUCGGACUUGAGGUACCAAGAAAGCAGGAAGAAACCUCGCGGGUCCUUCCCUGAAAUGUGUGACAAGCCAGGGCUCUCCAGGUCUGCUGUACCUGGGUCGACUCUUGCCUCCUAAAUUUCUCUUCCAGGAAAAGAAAAAGAAAGGUUUUGCCUUAUCUCUCUCUCUCUUUUUUAAUCUUCAGUUUCUUUUUGUAGUUUUUUUUCUUUUUCUUUUCUUUCGUUUCCUUUUUUGUAAAAAAAAAAAAAAAAA
Molecule: long non-coding RNA, 795 nt
Filed under: Rattus norvegicus (Norway rat)
Lineage: Eukaryota; Metazoa; Chordata; Mammalia; Rodentia; Muridae
Description: long non-coding RNA NONRATT024538
Source: RNAcentral